UACAGAGGGGGCAAGCGUUGUCCGGAAUUAUUGGGCGUAAAGAGCUCGUAGGCGGUUUGUCACGUCUGCUGUGAAAAUCCAGGGCUUAACCCUGGACCUGCAGUGGGUACGGGCAGACUAGAGUGCGGUAGGGGAGAUCGGAAUUCCUGGUGUAGCGGUGAAAUGCGCAGAUAUCAGGAGGAACACCGGUGGCGAAGGCGGAUCUCUGGGCCGUAACUGACGCUGAGGAGCGAAAGCAUGGGGAGCGAACAGG
This 253-nucleotide ribosomal RNA is filed under the name uncultured bacterium. Its description in RNAcentral is "partial 16S ribosomal RNA". It matches the Rfam family "Bacterial small subunit ribosomal RNA", at positions 524 to 776 of the family's 1533-position model. The record is from RNAcentral.